CCCCGUAAUUAUAUUUCCAUGUAAGUAAAGGCUUAAACUGUUGAAUUUCUGCCCAGGAAACUCUACAUCUAGAAAAUCUGCCGAGGAACCUGAGUCGAUGAGGGUUCUGCAUCCUGCGCCCAUCUGGGAACUGUAGCAGCGUGAGUCUAGGAAUAGCCAGGGGUGGUGGAGGCCCUGCAACUGGCCCCUUUUGCAGUCCUGGGGUCCUCACGGGAAUUGAACAUUAGGAAAUUCUGUAGGUAGAAUGAAUUUGGCAGUGUAAUGGGUGCAUGUUGCUCUUUUGCAUAAGAUACACACAUUUGUCGGAUGUUGGAUUUCAAACACACACACACACACCCCUCUAGACCUGAUUCUUGAGGGCCUCUUAUCUUAGGGAAAAUUUGCAUGUCUGCUUAAUUUUGCUGGUACAGUGUGCUCCUCCCCACGUGAAAGACAGUGAAUGUGUUUAUCUACUGUAACAUGCUUCCACCUACCAGGAAUGUCACUACAGCUAACCAUAGUACAUCCACUAUUCUCCUGUGUUUACAUGUGUGCAGCACUGUAUGUUGGGAAGAACCACACAAAAAUAAGCUUAAAACCAAACUAUGUGAUCAAAAGCAAGCAGUGGCAGAGGGAAACUGAACAAGAACAAAUGGAAGUUAAAGCAGGAUCCAUUCAAAUGAGAAAUAAGGCACCAAUUGUCACCAGUGAGAGCAAUUAAUCAUCAAGACAAGCUGCCAUUGGCUGGAGGAAGCGAAGAGAGAAUAGUUCCCCUUAACUUGAAGCCUUCUGGUGAAUUAUAGACUCCCUCCAUAAAACUAGAAACAAAUGUAGUAGGUUGAUUUAGUAAUAAGCAAAAGGAAUUCCCAAGCAUGUAGGAGAAAGAAAGGGAGAGAAGACUGUCUCAAGGGGAUUAUUUGCCGUUUUGACCAUUAAUCUAAAAGAUGAGGAGAAAAUUGGGGGAGUGGGCAGGGAACGAGAACAAUGCUGCCGAGAGAUGCUCCCAGUCAUGCGAUUUGUGUUGUAUUCCAAAUUUUAUAUGCAGAUUCCUCCUCCCCC
This 1038-nucleotide long non-coding RNA is filed under the name Podarcis lilfordi (Lilford's wall lizard). The record is from RNAcentral. Lineage: Eukaryota; Metazoa; Chordata; Lepidosauria; Squamata; Lacertidae.